This 390-nucleotide ribosomal RNA is filed under the name uncultured bacterium. RNAcentral describes it as "partial 16S ribosomal RNA". It matches the Rfam family "Bacterial small subunit ribosomal RNA", at positions 355 to 738 of the family's 1533-position model. The record is from RNAcentral.
UGGGGAAUAUUGCACAAUGGGCGCAAGCCUGAUGCAGCCAUGCCGCGUGUGUGAAGAAGGCCUUCGGGUUGUAAAGCACUUUCAGCGAGGAGGAAGGUGGUGAGCUUAAUACGCUCAUCAAUUGACGUUACUCGCAGAAGAAGCACCGGCUAACUCCGUGCCAGCAGCCGCGGUAAUACGGAGGGUGCAAGCGUUAAUCGGAAUUACUGGGCGUAAAGCGCACGCAGCGGUUUGUUAAGUCAGAUGUGAAAUCCCCGGGCUCAACCUGGGAACUGCAUUUGAAACUGGCAAGCUAGAGUCUCGUAGAGGGGGGUAGAAUUCCAGGUGUAGCGGUGAAAUGCGUAGAGAUCUGGAGGAAUACCGGUGGCGAAGGCGGCCACCUGGACGAAG